CGCCAGUGUUGCGCCUCUCCGUGACAUUUCAACGCGUUGCCCGCCCGCCCGCUGUAUCAGCGCGCCGGUGUGAUGGGCCGCCUCCAGUGUGACAUUACCAGCCGUUAAAUAGGGCGCUCCUCCAAUACCCAGACUAGGUGGGUAACAAUUCACAGGAGAGGAAAUCGUUAAACGUGGCCAAUUGCUAUCAGGAGACCACUACAGACGUGAAAGGUGUGGAAAGGAAUUCGUGGCAUUCUAUUCCGAAGGGGGAGUCGCCAAGGCACAGAAUUCAAGUCGCGGACAAUCUGCAACGAUUUCUUCCUCAGAGACCCGGGUUCGAUCCUGAUUUCGGAUGCUGUCCGUGUGGAGUUUGCACGUUCUACCCGUUGCCACCAGUCGGAGGAAGGGUCCUAACCCGAAACGUCGCCUAUCCACGUUCUCCGCGGAUGCUACCUGACCCGCGGAGUUUGUGUCUUUGACCCAGCACUUUGUGCCUUUUUUUUUGUAAACCAGCAUCUGCAGUUCCUUGCGUCCCCCAGUGGCCGCGGGGGUUGAGACACUGUCGAGCUAGAGUUGGUAACACCGCCGUCUCCGUCACUAUUUACCCGUUUUCCAAAUCAUUUGGAUUUGCACAGCAUUUGAGACACCAUGUCAGGACUGUUCAGAUAUGCUCAACGCAGCUGCAGGAGCGGCUGCUUCACAUCACCAGACACCCGGGUUCGAUCCCGUCCUCGGGUGCUGUCUGUGUGGAGUUUGCACGUUCUCCCUGUGACCGCGUGGGUUUCCUUCGGGUGCUCCGGUUUGCACCCACAUGCCCAAAACGUGCGGCUUUGUAGGUCCCUCUGUAAAUUGCCCCGAGAGUGGAUGAGAAAGUGGGAUAACAUGGUACUAGUGUGAGCCGGUGAUCGAUGGUCGGCAUGGACUCGGUGGGUCGAAGGGCCUGUUUCCAUGCUGUAUCUCUAAACUCAAAUUAAACAAUAUAAACUUCUUAAAAUGUAUCUAUACCAAUUGCUUUGAAUCUAAAAUAUAAAUAUAUAAAACACGACCAAUCUGUCAAUAAUCGACACAUUAACGACUACUCUAAAAUAACACGACAAUUUCGAAAUUCAGACUGAAGAAGGGUCUCGACCCAAAACGUCACCCAUUCCUUCUCUCCAGAGAUCCUGCCUGUCCCGUUGAGUUACUCAUUCUGUGUCUAUCUUCGGUGUAGACCAGCAUCUGUAGUUGGUUCCUACACGAAAAUGCGAAUUUCUCAUUAGAUGAGAAGACAACAUCAAUGUUUGCUGUCGAUAUCGUUUGACCAUUUCAGGACAGUGCCGUUCAAAGCAAUUGGAAAAAAAAUCCCGUUUCAUUUAGAGUCAUACGGCAAGGAAACAGGCCCUUCGGCCCAACUCGUCUAUGCCAACCAAGAUGUCCCAUUUGAAUGGUCUCAUUUGCCCGCAUUUGGCCCAUAUUGAGUUAAACCUUUCCCAACAAUGUGGCUGUGUUUAACCGUCAUUUAAAUGCUUUUAUAAUACUUGCCUCAACUACCUCCGUUGGCAGCUCGUUCCAUUCACCCACCACCCUCUGAGUGAAAAAGUUGCCCCGUCAGGUUCCAAUUAAAUCUUUCCCCUCUCACCUUAAACCUGUGCCCUCCAGUUCCCGAUUCCUCAACUUUGUGGACUCUUUUGUGAUGAUUUAAGAGAGUCAAGAAUGUUUAAUUGUCAUGUGAAAUUCUUACUUGCAGCAGCAUGGCAGACCUGUAAGCCCAGUACCCAUAAUAUAUAAUAAAGAAAGCAAUUCAAUAAAUUAAUAGCUGCGAGAUUAGUGGCAAAACAAAACCGAAGUCUUUCGAGAAACCAAAACAGUUCGUGAUUUAUCCGUAAAUUUGACAAUUGACAAUUAAUUCGUAAAUUUAAUAAUUGCAAAAUUACAUGCCUUUUUGAUCUUAAGAAUUAAGCCUGAAAGAGGGGAAGUGAGUGAUUGCAAUUCUAGGUUCAAACCCUCGGCUAUUCCGCGUCCUUGCUGCCAUCUCCUGGAUUGCAGCGGUGCUGCCGUCGCAGUUUGAAAAUACCGAGAGCAAAGCACAUGCAAGGAAUCUUCCCUCUCGCCCUGGGAUGGCCCCGUUGUUCCACCUGCAAGACAUAAAAGGGAAAAAUAGAUUUCCUAGAUUGAAAAAUAAACGGAACAGCAUUUAAAUUAACACCCGACUGAAUUAUGCUUGUUUUUAAAAAAAAUUCAGAGUAAGAUCAAUUAGAGACCUACCAAAUAUUAUGCAGAAAUAAGGAACUGCAGAUGCUGGUUUACACAUGUACUGGAGUAACUAAGUCUGAAGAACUGUCCCGAGCCGAAAUGCCACCAAUCCAUCUUCUCCAGAGAUGCUUAGUUACUCCAGCACUUUCUGUCCUUUUACCAAAAAUAUUAGAUAUUUUAAUAUUUGUACCUAUUGCAUAUUAUUACAUAUUUAAGAGUACUGAUAAAUUUGAACUUAACCUAAUAUUUUCAUGGUUUCACUAUUCUCUCCCUUAAUGUUUUUGUUAUUGGAUUAAAAAAAUAUUGGAAACGUUAUUUGCGUCCUUGGGAUUUUCACGAACAGGAGGGUAUAUCAGAUCAGUAUCAUUAGUCUUGAGUCUACUUGGGGGAAAGUACUUCAGGGUAUGACUGAAAUAGACGACCUGUUGAAGAGCAACAUAAUAGUUGUUCAAAUGAAGAUAGCUGCUAGACCGGCGAAACCCCCCCAGGGGGCAGUGUCGAGCCGGGUAGGAAUUAAUUAGAGCCCUGGUUCACAUUAUAUUAGGUUGAAUAAGAUCUAUUGAUCUGUGGAAUAAAUCACUGCCCAUUAAAUCAUUUGGAAUUUACAGCUAAUACCAUUACCAUUGUGCAUAAAUAUUUCUGUGUAGUGAACUACUUUCCCAGUUCUUUGAUGGUCAGAGAUUGCUUUCCUCCUGGUUUCCAAGUGACGUGUUGUCCCGUUUAAAGUGGGAAGUUACGACCGCGUUUGAGUCAAUGUUUAAUAAUUCUUGGUGUCCCUGUGCCAAAAAAUGAAGGCAGUUAGUGGGAGUCCGGCUCUAAUCUGAAUCCAAAGGAGCAAAGCCAAAUCAGACAGUCAUACGGCAUCACCGCAGGCUCUUCGGCCCAACUUGUCCAUGCUGACCAAGAUACCCCACCUAGCUAGUCCCAAGUGGCUCACCC
This is a long non-coding RNA of Leucoraja erinaceus (little skate), 3153 nucleotides long. RefSeq lists it as uncharacterized. Lineage: Eukaryota; Metazoa; Chordata; Chondrichthyes; Rajiformes; Rajidae. The transcript is spliced from 3 exons. The record is from RefSeq and is a predicted model, not a curated record.